CUUCCUUUUUUGGCGGUUUUACCUCGUAGUAACUUUCCAGAAAAACGAAAGGGUUAUGAUGAGAGAUUGUCAGUAAAUAUGAUAUUGUUUAUUUGACAAGAUUGGCUGUGAAGCAUUCUCAUUUAAAUCACUGAUUUAGCUGUGGUAUCGUUGUAUCCGAAUUCGAAUCCGAUAUAAAUACUCGUGACAAGCAUGGUUCGGUAGCAGCGAAUGCUAUGCUAUCUCGUCCAUAAACGUUGCAUAUACUAUUCAGAAAUCAGCAUCGUUUAAGACGGUUUGUAGGUAGGGUAAAGUUUGCAGCGAAGGCUUUGCCGAUUAUUUUACUGUGAGGUUAACAUUACCAAAGUACAUUGUUAAGUUGGAUGUUAAGGUGUCAGCUGGCAUGGUAAGAGGCAUGAAAUCGCGGCCACUCUGCUUCGUUGUGGUGACACACGCAUCGGAUUAAACUGCAUGUAAACGUACUAGUACGUCUAAACUAAUAACUAGUAUGUUUACAUGCAUGGCAUAUCAGAGAAUUCUGUCAUUUCGGUCGCGGGGCAACGAAUGAAUAAAGAUCGUUAGCACCCUGAAAAACAGAUGACAGAUGUGCCCGAAGUUACUACUUUAUUACCUCCUUGGGUGAAAUCGAAGCGUAGUGUGUACUGAAUGCGUGUUGAUGAUGAUGCAUAUGAAUUGCAACUUACACGUCUUCCAAACCUUUUCAGUACCCUGGCACAUGCUUUGUCCAAUGGACCAUGGAAGGGACUUUACUUGGCUGACGAGGACGCACCUCACCAGUAUCAGAGCAACAGCUGUGGGGUGUUUAUGCUGAUGUACGCAAUGUAUUCUACCCUCAAAAGCAAUAUGAUUUCAGUGAGGGGGACAUGCUCUCUAUCAGGAGGUGGUGGUGUGGACAGCUGUUGGAGACCUUUAUGCUUGAAAGCCCUGCAGAACUAGCUGGCUCCUUCUCACCCUCUCCAUCUCCCCAUCUCAGUCACACCUUCCAAUCACUAAGCAGUGAAAGCCCUGCAGGACUAGCUGGCACACCAAGCUCACCCUCUCCAUCUCCCCAUCUCAGUCACACGCUCCAAUCUGGCACAACAGAGGACAGGCCAUUCUUACCACCCGAAGUCCUUCAGCAAUUUGUACAAGAGACGCUGAGACUGGACAUGGCGAUGCUUGGCGUGUUCAACAGGGUUUCAAACACAUUCCGAGAACUAAUCAAGCCUCUCCAUCCUUCCAUAUAUAUAAAUGACAGUUUGGCAGGGGACAUUAAGCUUAAUAAAGACAAUCUCAUAUACAUAACGGUUAGAAAGAUUUACAACAAUGCAGGCUGUGGCAGUGGCCUUGCGCUACGCCUCAAAGGCUUCUCAAAAAAGAAUUGGCCAAGCGCACCUCUGGUACUGAGGCACGUUGCAUAUGGCAGGUUUGUCAUAAAAGAUGUCUGCCUAGCAUAAUGUUCUUCUAUUACUCCUUUUUCGUUUUAUUUGGGACGUCAUUUUUUGCAAUCCCUUUCAUUUGUAAAUGUACAUACUACUGUAGUAAAUGUAUCUGCCCAGAAAUGCUGGUAUUUUAUUACUCCUUUCUUUUUUGUUUUUGUGACAAAUGCUAUACGAUGUAUAACAUGCAUUUGUGCCUAUGAUGUAUGUUGUAAGGUUAAUUGUUACAGAGCAAUUACUGUAUUUUGUCUUUAUUGAAAACAUUCAGUGGGAAAAGUAAGUGAACACUUGGAGUCAAAUGGUCUACUGUUUGAGCCUUCAUAGUGUCUGGUAACUGGAUUUGAACUGCAUAAUGUCCCAAGUGUUAUUUUAAUCUAUUCAUUAUUUAAUUUGGGCAUAUUCUUAAACAACUAUAUCAAACAUCUCACUUAUAUCUAAUACCCUACCUAUACUAACCCAGAAGAUAAUGAACAUGAGAUCAUGGAGCCUCCCUGUAAUGAUCGUGUUGCAUCAAGUUUGAUGCAAAGUUUGGGCCGAGAUCCGACGCAUAAAUGUAAGCUAACAUUCUGUAGGCCUAGCUGGCUAACGUACCCGUAUAACAAGAUCGAAGAAGAAGGGGGCGCUAACGUCAGUUUUAUGCUGCCCAUACUACUAGAUCGACGAAGAAGAACUGGGCGUUCCAGCCUGCGUAAACGAGAACGCCGGGGGGGCGUUUUAGUCUGCGUGAACGAGAACGCCCAUUUGUGUCUGCAGUCGGAUGAUAUUGUUUCCAACAGGACUUCGCACUUGCCCACACUGCCCAGAGUACCAAUAGCUGGUUUAAUGACCAUAGCUCUGCUUGAUUGGCCAGAAAAAUCGCCUGACCUGAACCCCAUAGAAAAUGUAUGGGGUAUUGUCAAGAGGAAGAUGAGAAACACGAGACCCAAUAAUGCAGACGCGCUUAAGGCCGCUGUCGAAGUCACCUGGGCUUCCAUAACACCUCAGCCGGGCCGAAGGCUGAUCGACUCCAUGCCACUCUGCAUUGAUGCAGUAAUUCAUGCAAAAGGUGUACCAACCAAUUGCUGAUUACAUAUACAAGACAUUUCCGGAUAAAAAUCUUUUUACUGGUGUAAUGUGAUAUAUUUAAGAUACUGCAUUUGGGGGAUAUGAGCUGUAAGCCAUAUUCAAGAUUAAUACAAAUAAAGGCUUGAAGUAUUUCCCUUUCGGUAUAAUGAAUCUGAGUUUCAAUUCGGUUAAAAUUGAAUUUAUUUAUUUUUCCACUAUAUUCUAAUUCACUCCAAUUCUAGCUGCACCUUCAUUUUUAUUUAGGUUUUAUUGUAAUGAAUAAACAUAUACAGAAGGCUAUACAAGGACAAACAAACAGUUAUAUACAUAGAGCUGUUACCGGCUCAUCAAAAUACAAGGAAUGAAUGUGCAAAUAAUGGUUUGGUUUCAAAAGUGAUGUUUGCACAUGUUAAUGUACCAUCUGGUAAAAUAAAUGGAACGCAGGUUUCAUUACUGAUCAAUAAUGUCUUGUCCCAAAACUGACCCAUGGGCUGAUCUAAUGAAGAAAUUACCUGAAUUCACAACAGGAACUCCAUCUGGCUGGACUGAACAUGGUUGCAAUACCCUUGAGAAAGGUUAACAUGCAUUUCUGAAAAAAUUUAAUCCAUCUGUAAGCUAUGGAAAGAAUAAUUUUCAAUGUCAUGGUGCGUAUCAGAAACAAUAAAAGAGACCAUCAGCCAGUCAUAAAAACAAACAUGAAUUGGAGUUUAUUUGUUUUCUUUUCCUUAUCUGCCGCUACGCAGAAGCAGAUUUUCACAGUUCUACAGUUCUUCCAGAGAAACACCAA
This is a long non-coding RNA of Gadus chalcogrammus (walleye pollock), 3249 nucleotides long. RefSeq lists it as uncharacterized. NCBI's taxonomy places the organism in Eukaryota, Metazoa, Chordata, Actinopteri, Gadiformes, Gadidae. The transcript is spliced from 6 exons. The record is from RefSeq and is a predicted model, not a curated record.